This 301-nucleotide ribosomal RNA is filed under the name uncultured bacterium. Its description in RNAcentral is "partial 16S ribosomal RNA". It matches the Rfam family "Bacterial small subunit ribosomal RNA", at positions 509 to 808 of the family's 1533-position model. The record is from RNAcentral.
CAGUCGCCACGGGAAUACGUAGGGUGCGAGCGUUAAUCGGAAUUACUGGGCGUAAAGCGGGCGCAGACGGUUACUUAAGCAGGAUGUGAAAUCCCCGGGCUCAACCUGGGAACUGCGUUCUGAACUGGGUAACUAGAGUGUGUCAGAGGGAGGUAGAAUUCCACGUGUAGCAGUGAAAUGCGUAGAGAUGUGGAGGAAUACCGAUGGCGAAGGCAGCCUCCUGGGAUAACACUGACGUUCAUGCCCGAAAGCGUGGGUAGCAAACAGGAUUAGAUACCCCGUAGUCCCUGUCUCUUAUACC